CUGCCAAGCAACACAAGGAGGCUUCCUGUACUCAAGAAAACCCGCUUCCCUGAGGCCAGUUUACAGUGUGCUCAUGAGAACACACAUUCAGACCAAACACCAGUCCAGCUUGAAGAAGGCACCAGGAUGUGAAGUACCCAGUCAAGCCCCGUAGCCGGCACUGGAUGAUCUGGAAAUGGCAUCAUCUCCCUGUUUAUUCUGCCUUGGCUCUGCCCUGUGUCUCGGUCCUUCCAUUUAUCGGUGGCCCACUCUGGAGUCUCUGAGAUCAUGGAACACACUAUGUCACUGAUGAAAAUUUCAGACAAUCAACAAGAAAAAGAAAUUAAAAAACAAAUUGAA
Non-coding RNA from Peromyscus maniculatus bairdii (prairie deer mouse), 339 nucleotides. Lineage: Eukaryota; Metazoa; Chordata; Mammalia; Rodentia; Cricetidae. The record is from RefSeq and is a predicted model, not a curated record.